Jaculus jaculus (lesser Egyptian jerboa) is the source of this 108-nucleotide small nuclear RNA. The record is from Ensembl. Lineage: Eukaryota; Metazoa; Chordata; Mammalia; Rodentia; Dipodidae.
GUGCUUGUUUCGGCAGCAGCACAUACACUAAAAUUGAAAUGAUACAGAGGAGAUCAGCAUGGCCUCUGUGCAAGAUGCAAAUUCAUGAAUCUCCAGUCCCAUGUUUUU